AUCCACCUGACGAGCCCCAAAUAGGACGGAACGCGCGUCCUGGAU
This is a non-coding RNA of Schistosoma rodhaini, 45 nucleotides long. NCBI's taxonomy places the organism in Eukaryota, Metazoa, Platyhelminthes, Trematoda, Strigeidida, Schistosomatidae. The record is from Rfam.